GGAGUCGCACCGCCUCCGGGGACCGCACCCCGCAUGCAGCCUCCAGCCCCUGCCUCUUGCUGCUCGAGGGCACACGACCCAGGCCGGACGUUGUGGCUGAAGCCUGUAAUCCCAGCGGUUUAAGAGGCCAAGGCCUAAGCCCAGGUGUUGGAGACCAGCCUGAGCAACACAGCGCAAUGUGUCAUUUAGGCCUGUGACGUCGGAACUUUAUUAUUUGAACAUUUAAAAAUAAAUGAAUCCAAGAGCUUGAGUCACUUGGCCAAAAAUGCCCAGGAGGAAAAGGCCAAGUCAGGUACCCCGGCUCUAGAGCUACUAACUGAUCGCCGGAGACCCUGGGCCUUGGAAGAAGUCGCCUCCCCAGAUCUCUAAGCAGGCCGCGCGACCCUCGAGUCUCAGGUAAGCGGGAAAUCCCACUUCACAAGAAAGCCCCUCUCUCCGAGGCACGGG
Molecule: long non-coding RNA, 447 nt
Filed under: Homo sapiens (human)
Lineage: Eukaryota; Metazoa; Chordata; Mammalia; Primates; Hominidae
Description: HSALNT0254144
Source: RNAcentral